CCCUUAGAUGUUCUGGGCAGCACGCGCGCUACAAUGGUCUUCGCAAACGGAUGCAUUCUCGAAGGAGAAUGCCAAUCUUGGAAUCUAUGCCUUGGUCGGGACAGUUGCUUGCAAUUUUUCGACUCGAACCAGGAAUUCCUUGUAAUCGUGAUUCAUCACAUCACGAUGAAUACGUCCCUGCCCUUUGUACACACCGCCCGUCGCUCCUACCGAUCGAAGAGUUAGGUGAAUUGUUUUGAUCGAUAAGAUUUGACUAUGGUCAACUCUCGUUGUUAAAUUCUGUGAAUCUGACUGUUUAGAGGAAGGAAAAGUCGUAACA
This 319-nucleotide ribosomal RNA is filed under the name uncultured eukaryote. RNAcentral's name for it is "partial 18S ribosomal RNA". It matches the Rfam family "Eukaryotic small subunit ribosomal RNA", at positions 1470 to 1796 of the family's 1831-position model. The record is from RNAcentral.